GGCCUAAAGGGUAGUUUUAGAUUUAAUAAAAUAGAAUUUAAAAUUUAUUUAAUAGUUAUAUAUAAUUAUAAAAUGUAAACCCAAAAACGAAAGUUAUACUAUAUAAUCUUGAACCUACUAUAGCUGAGAAACAAACUGGGAUUAGAUACCCCACUAUGCUCAACUUUAAAACGGACAUUCCCGCCAGAGCACUACGAGCUACAGCUUAAAACUCAAAGGACUUGGCGGUGCUCUACACCCACCUAGAGGAGCCUGUUCUAUAAUCGACACCCCCCGAUAAACCUCACCAUCUCUUGCCAAUACAGCCUAUAUACCACCGCCCCAGUUUACCUUUUAAAAGAACAAUAGUAAACAAAAUAAUUUUAAAUAAAAAAGUCAGGUCAAGGUGUAGCAAAUGAGAUGGAAAGAAAUGGGCUACAUUUUUAAAAUAAUAAAAAUACGGAAUAUUAUAUGAAAUAAGAUAUAAAGGAGGAUUUAGAAGUAAAAAGAAAAAAGAGUGUUCUUUUUAAAUUGGCAAUAGAGCACGCACACACCGCCCGUCACCCUUUUCAAAAAUAAAAUAAUUUAAAUAAAAAUAUAAACUUAUAAGAAAAGGCAAGUCGUAACAUGGUAAGUCUACCGGAAGGUGGCCUUGGACAU
RNAcentral lists this ribosomal RNA (639 nucleotides) under Desmognathus ochrophaeus (Allegheny mountain salamander). RNAcentral describes it as "partial 12S ribosomal RNA". Lineage: Eukaryota; Metazoa; Chordata; Amphibia; Caudata; Plethodontidae. The record is from RNAcentral.